GACGAACGCUGGCGGCGUGCUUAACACAUGCAAGUCGAACGGAAAGGCCCUGCUUUUGUGGGGUGCUCGAGUGGCGAACGGGUGAGUAACACGUGAGUAACCUGCCCUUGACUUUGGGAUAACUUCAGGAAACUGGGGCUAAUACCGGAUAGGAGCUCCUGCUGCAUGGUGGGGGUUGGAAAGUUUCGGCGGUUGGGGAUGGACUCGCGGCUUAUCCGCUUGUUGGUGGGGUAGUGGCUUACCAAGGCUUUGACGGGUAGCCGGCCUGAGAGGGUGACCGGCCACAUUGGUACUGAGAUACGGCCCAGACUCCUACGGGAGGCAGCAGUGGGAAAUAUUGCACAAUGGGCGGAAGCCUGAUGCAGCAACGCCGCGUGCGGGAUGACGGCCUUCGGGUUGUAAACCGCUUUCGCCUGUGACGAAGCGUGAGUGACGGUAAUGGGUAAAGAAGCACCGGCUAACUACGUG
Molecule: ribosomal RNA, 468 nt
Filed under: uncultured bacterium
Lineage: Bacteria
Description: partial 16S ribosomal RNA
Rfam family: Bacterial small subunit ribosomal RNA
Source: RNAcentral